UCAAGCAGUUCGUUGGCGAUUAUGAAUUUUAAAUACUGUUUGUUAAUGCUUUCGCUAUUGCUGGCUGGGGCACUGGGACGUCCUGCCAUGCCCCUAUCGACAACGCUGCCCCCGUGCACACCCUGGUGUGCCGGCCAACUUCCUCCGCCUCCCGGUGCUGUCAACUAAAUAUAUGAAGAUACUACUCUACCACAAUCAACUCCAGCUUCAACUCCUACUCCUCAGAUCACGCCACAUCCCGAUGCUCUACCCGCUGUUCGGUCGCUUACUUUUCGUAGUUAUUUCGUGGCAUUUUCUAAAACAAUUAAACUCCCAUAAAGUAUACAAAUAA
This is a long non-coding RNA of Drosophila innubila, 331 nucleotides long. RefSeq lists it as uncharacterized. NCBI's taxonomy places the organism in Eukaryota, Metazoa, Arthropoda, Insecta, Diptera, Drosophilidae. The record is from RefSeq and is a predicted model, not a curated record. The transcript is spliced from 2 exons.